UAGGGUGCAAGCGUUAUCCGGAUUUACUGGGUGUAAAGGGCGAGUAGACGGCGUUGCAAGUCAGAUGUGAAAACAUAUGGCUCAACCGUAGGACUGCAUCUGAAACUGUAAUGCUAGAGUGCAGGAGAGGUAAGCGGAAUUCCUAGUGUAGCGGUGAAAUGCGUAGAUAUUAGGAGGAACACCAGUGGCGAAGGCGGCUUACUGGACUGUAACUGACGUUGAGGAGCGAAAGUGUGGGGAGCAA
This 244-nucleotide ribosomal RNA is filed under the name uncultured bacterium. Its description in RNAcentral is "partial 16S ribosomal RNA". It matches the Rfam family "Bacterial small subunit ribosomal RNA", at positions 528 to 771 of the family's 1533-position model. The record is from RNAcentral.